AUUCCAGCUCCAGUAGCGUAUAUUAAGGUUGCUGCAGUUAAAAAGCUCGUGGUUGGAUUUCUGUUUUCACAGAGCCUACUUCCUCAAGGUCGUGUGCGCCGUGUUUUGUGUGCCAUCCUUCUAGAAAUUGUGUUCUAUCCCUUCACUGUGAUAGAUCCGAGAUCUAGAUCUUUUACUGUGAAGAAAUUAGAGUAUUCAAAUCAGGCUCGCGCUGUGAAUCCUUUAGCAUGGAAUAAUAAUUUAGAACUUGGUUGGUUUUCAGGAUCUAAGUCAUGAUUGAUAGGGAUAGUUGGGGGUGCUAGUAUUUUGCGGCCAGAGGUGAAAUUCUGUGAUUCGCGAAAGACUAACUUAUGCGAAAGCAUUCACCAAGGACGUCUUCAUUA
This 383-nucleotide ribosomal RNA is filed under the name Cercozoa sp. RNAcentral describes it as "partial small subunit ribosomal RNA". It matches the Rfam family "Eukaryotic small subunit ribosomal RNA", at positions 582 to 975 of the family's 1831-position model. The record is from RNAcentral. Lineage: Eukaryota; Cercozoa.